Molecule: long non-coding RNA, 588 nt
Organism: Nilaparvata lugens (brown planthopper)
Lineage: Eukaryota; Metazoa; Arthropoda; Insecta; Hemiptera; Delphacidae
Exons: 3
Source: RefSeq, a predicted model, not a curated record
UAAGUACACCGCCCAUGUUAUCUUCAGCCGAUAAGUAAACAAACAGGAAAUUCUAGAUUGAAAAUUAUUAUUCCAGGGUAGUGUGUUGAGUUACAAAGGAUCCAGCAGCUUUUGUCUUCAAUAUUGGGAUGUGCUGUACAUGGCCUGUCGUAUCAUGUUAUCAAACUCAAGUGAAAAUUUGAUCGAUCCCUCGGCUCAUAUGAACUGAAAGCAAUGGUUUGACGUUGGUCUGUGUCAAUAGUUGAAUGACGUACUAAGUAUUAUUGGGAUAAUGUGAGAGGCAAAGAUGAUGAAACAAAAGAACCAAAUUGUAUAAAAUGAGAAGUUACCUGAUGUUGAGCAUGUAAUAUCUUCGAACAGUUACGACUAUUGCAGAUAUCAUGUCGAGAUACAUCAUUCUUGCCCUGCUUGUGGUAAUAUCCGUGCUGGAUUAUACGACUGCCAACGAACAGGGUACACCAACAGGUUCUCUCAACUCUAAUAAACCCUAGUAGACAAAACUGGUUUCAAUCGCUUCCAAUUUGUUUGAACUACUCACUAUUAAAUAUGUCAAUCAUUGAUUGUAUGAUAAAAAUAUGAGUCACUAAA